This is a long non-coding RNA of Herpailurus yagouaroundi (jaguarundi), 698 nucleotides long. RefSeq lists it as uncharacterized. The record is from RefSeq and is a predicted model, not a curated record. Lineage: Eukaryota; Metazoa; Chordata; Mammalia; Carnivora; Felidae. The transcript is spliced from 3 exons.
CACUGUCAACUUCCAAUUUUAUAUCCAGUGAAAAUGUUCUUCAAAGAUGAAGGCAAAAUAAAGACAUUUCAGUUAAGCCAAAGCCAAGAGAAUGCAUCGCUAGUGAGUUUGCACUACAAGGAAUGCUAAGGGAAGUUCUUCAGGCUGAAGGAAAAGGAUACGAGAUGGACACAGGAGUUUACACAAAGGAAUGAAGAGUAAAUAUGGUCCCGCCCACACUGAAGAAAAGUGACAUGGAUACAAGACAUAGAUAUCAGGGAGUGGGAAUCUUGGGAUUCUGCCUACUGCAAGCCCUGAAUGAGAGGCCUCUGAAUGGCUCUGUGCCUCUCUUAGGGAAAAUAGAUGAGGCCAAACAGAAGCCGUAUGUGGUGACCUGUGCGAUGCGUUAGUUACUUAUAUAAACUGAACAAAGCAGUCUAACAAUCCUGUAAAUAUCACACAUAAAGAUGAACCAGCUAGUGUCAUGUCGGUAUUUCUAAAGAUAAAGUAAAUCAGUACUACUGGCACCAUCGGUUUUUGUGUGGUCCCAUCUCCAAAAAGCACGAAAUACAAAUUUAUACCCAAAAACGUGUUUUAUGAAUUCAAAUCACCAGCAUGAUUUUAGCAUGUAUGAAAUGUACAAAUCCUUAUUGUAAAGUAAGUUUUGAAAGCUUGCAUGUACUGUGAAGCAUGAGCUUUUGCAAAGAGAGUGAAAUAUG